This 69-nucleotide transfer RNA is filed under the name Ornithorhynchus anatinus (platypus). It matches the Rfam family "tRNA". From Rfam's summary of the family: Transfer RNA (tRNA) molecules are approximately 80 nucleotides in length. Their secondary structure includes four short double-helical elements and three loops (D, anti-codon, and T loops). The record is from Rfam by way of RNAcentral. Lineage: Eukaryota; Metazoa; Chordata; Mammalia; Monotremata; Ornithorhynchidae.
GGCAGCGUGGCCUAAUGGAUAGAGCACGGGACUGGGCCUAGGACCUGGGUUCUAAUCCCAACUCUGCCA